This 20-nucleotide transfer RNA is filed under the name Pseudelephantopus spicatus. RNAcentral describes it as "partial tRNA-Phe". Lineage: Eukaryota; Viridiplantae; Streptophyta; Magnoliopsida; Asterales; Asteraceae. The record is from RNAcentral.
GUUGGUAGAGCAAGACUGAA